GUGCUCAUUUCAGCAGCAUCUAUACUAAAACUGGAAUGAAACAGAGAUCAGCAGAUCACCUGCACAAGGAUUGUAUGGAAAUUUAUGAAAUGUUCCAUAUUUUU
Monodelphis domestica (gray short-tailed opossum) is the source of this 104-nucleotide small nuclear RNA. The record is from Ensembl. NCBI's taxonomy places the organism in Eukaryota, Metazoa, Chordata, Mammalia, Didelphimorphia, Didelphidae.